Pieris napi is the source of this 513-nucleotide long non-coding RNA. RefSeq lists it as uncharacterized. The record is from RefSeq and is a predicted model, not a curated record. The transcript is spliced from 4 exons. Lineage: Eukaryota; Metazoa; Arthropoda; Insecta; Lepidoptera; Pieridae.
CAUUACUCAUUUCACAUUUGUUACUUGUACGGUGUGGAUUGUGGACUAUGGCGUGUGCCCACUGCCCAGGAGUCGUAGCACGCUUCAGAGUAUAAUUAUUUAGAUAUUAAUUUUUACAAUGUCUAUAAUAACUAUUCUUAAUUUUAAUAUAAGAUGAACGUUUUACGUUGAAGAUUACUUUUGAGAAAUGCUUACAAAGAUCAUGGAGGGACUGGUCUUGAAAGGAAUUAUUAGGCUGAAAACUAAUGUGUUUUAAUAACAAGCAGUGACAAAUGCCUCCAUAAACUUAUGACUUCUAAUUAAAAAAAUACGGGUAACCUAAACCAGACAGCACAGCUGAGGACCGAAACAAUUGGGCCCAUAUUCAUGCAGAAAAAUUAUGCAUUUAAACAUAAGUCGCAUAUGGAAGAGGUAUUAAAAAAACUAAUGGGAACUAGCUGCGCUACUUAAUAACAAGUGUAGUGGAAUGAAAAGAAUGCUUGUUAGAUUCGUAAAAAUAAAAUUUCAACAUUA